RNAcentral lists this ribosomal RNA (253 nucleotides) under uncultured bacterium. RNAcentral's name for it is "partial 16S ribosomal RNA". It matches the Rfam family "Bacterial small subunit ribosomal RNA", at positions 524 to 776 of the family's 1533-position model. The record is from RNAcentral.
UACAGAGGGGGCAAGCGUUAUUCGGAAUUAUUGGGCGUAAAGGGCGCGUAGGCGGCUUGGCAAGUGGAAGGUGAAAUCCCUCGGCUUAACCGAGGAACUGCCCUCCAAACUGCUUCGCUUGAGACCGGGAGAGGUGAGUGGAAUUCCCAGUGUAGCGGUGAAAUGCGUAGAUAUUGGGAGGAACACCAGUGGCGAAGGCGGCUCACUGGACCGGUACUGACGCUGAUGCGCGAAAGCGCGGGGAGCAAACGGG